CGGGAAUAGCGCAUGCGCACCUAAGUCAGGCUGAAGAAAAGCGCACGCACAAGGGAAAGAAUUGGAUUAAGAUUCACACCAAAAAAUUGCAACAGAUAUGAACCUCUCAAAAACUGCACCCUACAGAUGAUUUUACCAAAAGUUCCUGCUUUGGAUUAGGGUGGUUCACGCCAACUAAUGAGGUCCCUAUCUGUGGUGAUGCUACACAGGCUGUUAUUCCAUAUAAAAAAUAAUGUAUAUUUAUAAAUUAUUUAAUACUGUGACUAAGUUUUGCAUAAUUUGUCAAAUGUUUCUGAUAUUAAAAAGCUAUGA
Long non-coding RNA from Emys orbicularis (European pond turtle), 312 nucleotides. RefSeq lists it as uncharacterized. Lineage: Eukaryota; Metazoa; Chordata; Testudines; Emydidae. The record is from RefSeq and is a predicted model, not a curated record. The transcript has 3 exons.